This 706-nucleotide ribosomal RNA is filed under the name uncultured bacterium. RNAcentral describes it as "bacterial SSU rRNA". It matches the Rfam family "Bacterial small subunit ribosomal RNA", at positions 8 to 686 of the family's 1533-position model. The record is from RNAcentral.
AGAGUUUGAUCCUGGCUCAGGACGAACGCUGGCGGCGUGCUUAACACAUGCAAGUCGAACGGUCUACCUCGACAGAAACCUUCGGGUUGAAGACGAGAUCUAGAUAGUGGCGGACGGGUGAGUAACACGUGAAUAAUCUAUCCUCAAGUUUGGGAUAACCUGGCGAAAGUCGGGCUAAUCCGAGGUAAGCUGAGAGUGUGGCAUCACACAAUCAGAAAAGGUGGCAUUGCCAUCGUUUGAGGAGGAGUUCGCGGAGAUUAGCUAGCUGGUGAGGUAACGGCUCACCAGGGCAACAAUCUAUAGCUGUCUGAGAGGACGAUCAGUCACACUGGAACUGAGACACGGUCCAGACUCCUACGGGAGGCAGCAGUGGGGAAUCUUCCACAAUGGGCGCAAGCCUGAUGGAGCAACGCCGCGUGAAUGAAGAAGGCCUUAGGGUCGUAAAGUUCUGUCCUUAGGGAAGAACCGUGGGUAUAGCAAAUGAUACCCACCUGACGGUACCUUUGGAGGAAGCACUGGCUAACUACGUGCCAGCAGCCGCGGUAAUACGUAGAGUGCAAGCGUUGUCCGGAAUUAUUGGGCGUAAAGGGUACGCAGGCGGAUAGUAAGUCAAGCGUGAAGGUGUCGGCUUAACCGACAGACUGCGUUUGAAAUGAUUAUCUUGAGUGUAACAGAGGAGAGUGGAAUUCCUAGUGUAGUGGUGAAA